GCCCACCACUCUAGGUGCUAGAGAAGCAAGUCAGGAGUCAGAAAUGGUGUGAACAAUACAUAUGAACACUUUGUGUAUUGGAGGCUGAUAUUCAUACGUGGGGGACAAAGAGAGAUUGGCUGAGGCAGUCUUAACUACAUGUCAGAAAUACAAAUGAAGAUGAACAGCCACCACUGGCAGCAGCACUGAUAAGCUCCUUCUGUUCUCAGUAGUAUCCAGAUCUGUUUUCUUCAUGCACAAAUCCCAGAAUUCCUCUUUUGGAGAAUCAAAGACUAUUUUAGUGGAUUGAGACCACAUGUGUCACUGAGAUGGACCCUUUCUAGGUCAAGGAACUGCCACCCUGGGGCAUAGUUUCAGUCACAAGGUAAAAGUGGACAAGUUUCAACUCUUUGGCAUGUACAGGGUGAGAAAGCAGGCAGGUU
Molecule: non-coding RNA, 422 nt
Organism: Phasianus colchicus (ring-necked pheasant)
Lineage: Eukaryota; Metazoa; Chordata; Aves; Galliformes; Phasianidae
Source: RefSeq, a predicted model, not a curated record